RNAcentral lists this ribosomal RNA (1286 nucleotides) under Klebsiella sp. HD4.1. RNAcentral describes it as "bacterial SSU rRNA". It matches the Rfam family "Bacterial small subunit ribosomal RNA", at positions 74 to 1359 of the family's 1533-position model. Lineage: Bacteria; Pseudomonadati; Pseudomonadota; Gammaproteobacteria; Enterobacterales; Enterobacteriaceae. The record is from RNAcentral.
GCUUGCUCUCGGGUGACGAGCGGCGGACGGGUGAGUAAUGUCUGGGAAACUGCCUGAUGGAGGGGGAUAACUACUGGAAACGGUAGCUAAUACCGCAUAAUGUCGCAAGACCAAAGUGGGGGACCUUCGGGCCUCAUGCCAUCAGAUGUGCCCAGAUGGGAUUAGCUAGUAGGUGGGGUAACGGCUCACCUAGGCGACGAUCCCUAGCUGGUCUGAGAGGAUGACCAGCCACACUGGAACUGAGACACGGUCCAGACUCCUACGGGAGGCAGCAGUGGGGAAUAUUGCACAAUGGGCGCAAGCCUGAUGCAGCCAUGCCGCGUGUGUGAAGAAGGCCUUCGGGUUGUAAAGCACUUUCAGCGGGGAGGAAGGCGUUAAGGUUAAUAACCUUGUCGAUUGACGUUACCCGCAGAAGAAGCACCGGCUAACUCCGUGCCAGCAGCCGCGGUAAUACGGAGGGUGCAAGCGUUAAUCGGAAUUACUGGGCGUAAAGCGCACGCAGGCGGUCUGUCAAGUCGGAUGUGAAAUCCCCGGGCUCAACCUGGGAACUGCAUUCGAAACUGGCAGGCUAGAGUCUUGUAGAGGGGGGUAGAAUUCCAGGUGUAGCGGUGAAAUGCGUAGAGAUCUGGAGGAAUACCGGUGGCGAAGGCGGCCCCCUGGACAAAGACUGACGCUCAGGUGCGAAAGCGUGGGGAGCAAACAGGAUUAGAUACCCUGGUAGUCCACGCCGUAAACGAUGUCGAUUUGGAGGUUGUGCCCUUGAGGCGUGGCUUCCGGAGCUAACGCGUUAAAUCGACCGCCUGGGGAGUACGGCCGCAAGGUUAAAACUCAAAUGAAUUGACGGGGGCCCGCACAAGCGGUGGAGCAUGUGGUUUAAUUCGAUGCAACGCGAAGAACCUUACCUGGUCUUGACAUCCACAGAACUUUCCAGAGAUGGAUUGGUGCCUUCGGGAACUGUGAGACAGGUGCUGCAUGGCUGUCGUCAGCUCGUGUUGUGAAAUGUUGGGUUAAGUCCCGCAACGAGCGCAACCCUUAUCCUUUGUUGCCAGCGGUCCGGCCGGGAACUCAAAGGAGACUGCCAGUGAUAAACUGGAGGAAGGUGGGGAUGACGUCAAGUCAUCAUGGCCCUUACGACCAGGGCUACACACGUGCUACAAUGGCAUAUACAAAGAGAAGCGACCUCGCGAGAGCAAGCGGACCUCAUAAAGUAUGUCGUAGUCCGGAUUGGAGUCUGCAACUCGACUCCAUGAAGUCGGAAUCGCUAGUAAUCGUAGAUCAGAAUGCUA